CAAUUUUGCCCUCCCAACUUGCUAAAAUUACUUGACGCAUCUCCUCUUCUCUCUGUUCCUCCUCUUCCUUUCUCUCUCCUCACUCCCACCAAAACCCAUCGCCACUCCCUCACCUCACUGGUCAUCCACCAUCACCAAGCAGGUAAACACCUCCAUUUUUUAAAAAAUUCCUUCUCUUCCCCUAUUUCUCUCUCCCAGGGUUUACUUUCACUUCACCUACCCUAAUUUUCGCUCAUUAACCUUAACUCUUCACAAUUUACUCCCGAAUUUCUCCUGCAAUUCUUCAUCACAAGCAUUCAUAAAUGGCGAUUUUUUCCAGACCGAAUAUUCUCUCCGUUCACCGCCGACUGUCAGAAGGCUAUUAUCUUCUUCAAGUUUCUCUCUCCUUCGCAUUUCCGGCACAUAGGAAAACUCGAUGGCAAGUUGAAUGAUGAAUUAUUGGGAGCAAAGGCAUCUGUAGCUGAGGCAGAGACUGAAGUUCUUUUGGAUUUAACAGAAAAGAUUAAACUGGCCCUUGAUGACAUUGAAAAAAUGUUGAAGAGUGUAAUUGCACUUGAUGUUAUUUUCAUUUGCAAUAUCAAUUUUGAAUUUUGAUGCUAACGAAAGACUUGUAGAGGAUGACCUCAUCCUCUCUUCUUCUCCUUCUUAUCAUUCCUCUUCUUAGAUCUUAGUUUUCGCAUCUGGGUUCCUUCAAACGGUGUGUUUUCUCUCUCUUAUUUUUUUUACCUUUAUAUCAAAUGAAUUCUGGGUUUUUGUAUAAUGUUGAUUCUUUUUUUUGUUGUUUAUGUUUAUGUUUAUGAUUGAUUCAGGAAUCCUAGAUUGAUAUAUACACGAUCCGAUGUCCUUCAAUUGAAUUGAAAAAUACCCCACUUUUGGUUGAUUAGAAUUAUUACUGGGUUCUGUUCAUUUCUCAUAAAAAAAGGUGAUUUGUUUGGGUGUAUUUUAUCGAUUUAGUUCAUUAAUUUGGAUUAGUUUCAUUGAAUUGGUUGUUUUAUGAGUUGGGUAAUUUGAAUUUGGUGAUAUUGAUGUAGUAAUGGUGAAUUGUUGCAUAAUUUUGAUUGUAUACAUUUAUAAAUGUGAAUUUUUGGUAUGAUUUUAUGUUUUUGUAGUUUAUGAUAAUGAUGGGAUGUUGAGAAGAGUAUUAUGAGGUUUAUGAUGUUUAUUGUGAUUGAAUUGCAGAAAAAAAAAAUGGAAUUGGAUCUUGGUAAGCUUUUCAUUGUGUUUGCACUUGUGGAAUAAAACUUGCAGAAAAGUAAAACUCACUUGGAAAAUGCUAAUUCCUACUUCCAACUAAAUAAGCUCUUAAACACAAUUAGCAACAGAAUUGGCUUCUUCAUAGAUAUGCAAGGCAUAAUAUCUCAAAGUAAGGCUAAACAUGAUUCUAAUGCGAAAAAUUGUCGGGUUGGAGGAUUUUUUGGAUUGAUUUUUAAAAGAUUAUUUUCUAAAGGAAUUGAGUUUUUAAGAAUAUAUCGAAUAAGGGAAAAUUGAAGUUUAUAACUCCAAAACACUCUCCUACAAGCAAAACUAAAACAUGAUCUGGAAUCAAAAUAAGCCCUUAAACACAAUCAUCGACACAAUAGGCUUCUUGAUAAAUAUGCUAGGCAUGAUAGUUUAAAGUAAGGCUAAGCAUGAUUGUGAUGCAGAAAACUUGUUAGGUUGAAUUAUUUUCUCGAUUGAUUUUUUAAAGAUUAUUUUAUGAGGGGAUUGAGUUUUUGAAGAUGUAUCGAAUAAUGGGAAAUUGAAGUUUAUAACUCCAAAACGCUCUCCUAAAGCAAAACCAAAACACGACGGAGAAAUGAGAAGUAUCAAAUAAAAACUAUAUGAAAAAUAAAAAUAAAAAUAAGAGUAACUAAAAGGAAAUAAGUAGAAAAUAAAUUAUGAAAAUUUGAUCAAUAUGACUAAAACAAAAUAGCUUACGGAACUAAGAGCUAAAAACUAAAAGAAAGAACUAAUUACUCUAAUUAAGCCACAAAAUAGUAAAAGAAGGAUAAUAAAGAAUAAAAAUAUGAAAAAUAAAAUAAAACAACUAUAAUCACGCACAAGUUUUUACCAUAUAAGUGACAUAAAUAUCACUCAUCAACAAUUUUAGUGAAUUAUGUUGGAUACUCUCAUAUAUGUGGAUUUGUUUCUUAAAGUUGGAUUAGCUGCUACUUUCGUGUCUUUGAUGCAAACUCAGUCACCUCUUUUGUGAUUAUUUAGAUAUUAUUGGUAUGGUUAUCUAAGUCGAAGAACAUGCGCAAAUCAUUGUGACAUGUUAUCUACACAAUAAGGGCGUUUUAGAGCUAAUGCAAUCUAUGUAGCUUAUGUUCUUAUUAACUACCAAGUUUAGAUGCCUUUGUUUUUCUGAAAUGAUUAUGCUAAUGAUGAACAUUCAGUUGUCCGCAAUUAUUAUUGUUAUUUUGGGGGGCCGCGCGCGAUAGCGCGCGGUCCAACAACUAGUUACAAAAAUGUCCCUGGGUGUACCAUGAGCAUGGUACACCCGGGUGUACCAUGAGUGGACUCGAAAUGUUAUAUGUAUUCCUUAAGGCUACAUAUAAUAAGUUAUCAUGCUCAUGGUACACCCAGGGAUACAUAUAACAUUUCGAGUCCACUCAUGGUACACCCGGGUGUACCAUGCUCAUGAGCAUGAUAACUGGGACACUCACAAAUGGGCAUUUCAUGGGUUUCAACAAUAAUAGUGCACGCUAAUGUGAAACACAAUAUCAUAAUAGUGUCGCAUAAUGCUAGUGUCAGACAUACAUGUAUGGUAUCUCACAAAUAAAGAUUAAUUGAAAAUCAUAAAAGAGUCGUUAUAUAUAAAUGUUGUGGGGAAGACGAUGUGUGAGGAUGACUUCAAGUGGUGUGGCUUUGAGGUUCGUUAAUCCAAAACCUUCAGUCAUGUCAACAGCUUCAUCAGAUAAAAUUGUGAUCUCAAAUGCAUGGAGUAAUUUAGCUAGUGUAAACUGCAUGAAUCGAAGUGCAGAAGAUAUACCAGGACAAAUCCUCCUACCACUUCCAAAAGGCAUAUAUUCAAAUUGUUGGCCUCUAACAUCAUACUCUUUGUAAGUUGUAAGAAACCUUUCAGGACGAAACUCCAAAGGAUCUUCCCACACUUUAGGAUCUCUAUGUACUUUGUAAAGAUUAACAAAGAGUCGAGUGCCAGCUGAGAUGUGGUAACCAUUCACGGUGCAGUUUAUAAUGGCUUCUCGAGGAACUGAAAGGGGUGCAGCUGGAUAUAGUCUCAUGGUCUCUUUGAGAACAGCUUGUAAGUAAACUAAAUUUUUGAGGUCUGAUUCUUCCACUUGCCUGUUUUUGCCCACUUGUAUGUCUAGUUCAGCUUGAGUCUUUUUCAGGAUAUCUUUGUUGUUGAGUAGCAAUGAUAGUGCCCAUGUUAGGGUUGCUGCUGUGGAGUCUGCUCCCCCUAAAAUCAUUGCCUAUCAAGAUGAAGGAGAUAUUGAUUCUUUCCAAUUACUUCAUCAAGUGAUUGAAAAACCAAUAAUUAGUUGGAGUAGACUUUCUUACAGAUUAUGUUUUUUUCUUGGCUUGUUAAAUACAACUUAGCUCUCAUCUUACUUUUUAUUGUUACUGUUAAGCGUCUAAACUAAAACAGGAAAAUCAUUUGACAUUAGACAUCUAUUAGUUGGAUAGGGGCUGUCCCAAGCGUUACAGAGGCAUGUACGACUACUAUUAAACGGGGCCUUAGUCGGUGAAUAUGAAUUAUUAUUUAAUAACAAUUCGUUUUUAAGCAUGUGCAGAUAAUUAUAAUUUUCAUUUAUUAACAUUUUACUUCAUAAAUAUAAAACCAAAUAUUAGUUUGGUUUGAUGGUCAAAGCUUUAGUGUAUCAGCUUGAGGUUAUGGGAUCAAAUUUUAUAAGAUGUAUAAUCUAUUUUUUUUUAGGGUAAUGUUAUAUGUAGCCCUAAGGGCUACAUAUAAGCAUCAAAUACAUUUCUUUAAAUAGAAACCGUUUAAGAAUGCAAGACACAUUUUCACCUCAACUGAGGUAAUAAAUGCUUGAUUCAAUAUUUUAUUUCCAUUUUAAGCACCUUAUACAUGACCCUAAGUUAGAGCUAUGUAUAUCAUUUUCCUUUUUUUAGGGUAAUGUUAUAUGUAGUCCUAAGCAUCAAAUACAUUUCUUUAAAUGGAAACAAUUUAAGAAUUCAAGAUACAUUUUCACAUCAACUGAGGUAAUAAAUGCUUGAUUCAAUAUUUUAUUUCCAUUUUAAGCACCUUAUACAUAGCCCUAAGGGCUAUGUAUAUCAUUUUCCUUUUUUUAUUAUACGCUUGUUUAUAUAAAGUAAACACAUUAAGAAAUAGCGCCAUGUAACAUAGUUAUUUGCUUAGGAACACCUUUUAAUAUAUUAGUAUAUAUAUAUUGUUAAAGUUAUAAACUAAAAAAGAUGCUAACAAUGCAAACUAAUUGCUUAGUCACUCAAACAAAUAUAACUUUACACAUCCUUACUCUAACAAUUAAUUUGGUAGGUUUUCAUGUGGAAAUUAAAUUUCCAUGGAAAAAUAUAAUUGUAUAGUGGUUUACCUUUUGGUUCUUGAAUAAGAAGGAAAAUGUUUUGCACCCAUUAGAGAAUUACUUUUUCAUCCAUUGGAAAAUUGAUUUACACCUUUUACAAAACAAAGUAAAUUGGGAAAAUCACUUUUCUAAAAAUGAGUUCCUCCCAAACACACACUACUAUAGUAAUGUUACUAUGUUCUAUCACAAUAUUAGGUAGUAAUUCAAGGAAUUUUCAUACUUUUUAACAGUUAGUAGUAGUAUAGAAAUAAGAAUUGAAGAACAUGUAAAAGUAGUGCUUAUUACCAUGCAAGUAGCUUUAAUGAUUGUAUCUGCUUCAAAUUUGGAAACAUUUUCCUGUGUGUUCUCCAUAAUGUCAAGCAUCGCAUCCAUGAAAUACCGCUUUUCUUGUGUCUCUUUCGAUCUUCUCCUUCUCCUAUGCUCCUCCAACCAAUUUUGAGCUAUAACAUCGAUGUCUAAUGCAGCCUUCUUCAUUUUUUUCUCGUACCCUCCAAUAUCCAACCACCUCAAAAACGGAAGUGCAUCAGCAGGGACAAAUGCACCUCCCAAUACAAAAAAUUCCCUGAUUGCCUUCAAGCACCGAGUGUAUUCCUCAUCUUGAUAGAAGCUCGACAGUGGUGAUCUUUCGUAUCUCACGCCAGUACUGACCAUAAGGGGCUAGGCCGAACAUGGCGGAGUUGUAACCGAGAAACUCUGCAAACAUUGUAUAUGGCCGAUUUAAGAAUACUUUAUCAUUCGCGCCUAAGCACUCUUUUGCUGUCUCUGCUGUGCUUACUACUAAAGCUCGGUGAACGCCGAGCUUUAUCAU
Molecule: long non-coding RNA, 5313 nt
Organism: Beta vulgaris subsp. vulgaris (sugar beet)
Lineage: Eukaryota; Viridiplantae; Streptophyta; Magnoliopsida; Caryophyllales; Amaranthaceae
Exons: 5
Source: RefSeq, a predicted model, not a curated record